CGCCGAGCUGCUUCCGGGGGCGCGGCGGGCUCGGCGGAAAUAAGGGCCCGCGGCCACGCUUCUUCCUUUUUCCUGCAGCUUGCUCCCCGGCUUCGUCUGCGUCCGAUGGCAUCCUCGUAUGCCCGCUCGUCCGAGAGUCUGGACAGUUCUCUCGUCCGUCUGCUUACCUUCUCCAGGAGGAACUGGGAACCAAACCUAAGACCUCCCACAUGAGGGACGAGUGCCCAACAGCCUGAGCCACAUCCGCUUCUUGAUUUGUUUAAAGCAAGCAGGCUAUGAUGUCUUUCCACCACGAUGCAUGGCACUUUGGAGUCUACCAUUCCCCUGGUAGUUGAGCAGCAAAAUUCCCAUAAUGCCAGAGCUGGAAGAUCCUUGAAAGGCUGUGCCUUGGGUAGUGAUCAGGCUGUUCCAUGGAAUCAGUGCAGUGAUGAGGAAGUAGAUGUGGCUCAAGGAGUUGGGUGCCUGCCAACCACAUAGGAGGUCCCAGAUUUGGUCCCGGUGCCUCAUAAAGAAGACAGCAAGCUGAUGCAGCAAGGAGACACAGUGAGAGGCACAACAAGCAGCAAGCACGGGUGGCUCAAGCAAUUGGGCACCUCCCUCCCACAUGGGAGGUCCCGGGUUUGGUUCCCAGUGCCUCCUUAAAAAAAAAAAGAGGAGCAGACACCGAGAGUGCAAACAAUGGGGGGGGGGAGCAUAAAUUACCCACAAAAAAGUCACUGGAAUUUCUGGUUCUUGGAAUAAUACUGGUGGGUAGAGGGUCUAGCUGAGGCUUAAGCCUGGGGUGGUGUGGGUUGUGGUUCAAUAAAGGUGGUUUUUAAAUCUGUGAUCCAGC
RNAcentral lists this long non-coding RNA (832 nucleotides) under Dasypus novemcinctus (nine-banded armadillo). RNAcentral's name for it is "lncRNA (ENSDNOG00000051707.1)". The record is from RNAcentral. Lineage: Eukaryota; Metazoa; Chordata; Mammalia; Cingulata; Dasypodidae.